UGCCAGCCGCCGCGGUAAUACGGAGGGGGCUAGCGUUGUUCGGAAUUACUGGGCGUAAAGCGCACGUAGGCGGACUAUUAAGUCAGGGGUGAAAUCCCGGGGCUCAACCCCGGAACUGCCUUUGAUACUGUUUAUCUAGAGUCCGAGAGAGGUUAGUGGAAUCCCCAGUGUAGAGGUGAAAUUCGUAGAUAUUGGGAAGAACACCAGUGGCGAAGGCGGCUAACUGGCUCGGUACUGACGCUGAGAUGCGAAAGCGUGGGGAGCAAACAGGAUUAGAUA
This 279-nucleotide ribosomal RNA is filed under the name uncultured bacterium. RNAcentral's name for it is "partial 16S ribosomal RNA". It matches the Rfam family "Bacterial small subunit ribosomal RNA", at positions 506 to 784 of the family's 1533-position model. The record is from RNAcentral.